CCAUUUAAAGAGUGCGUAAUAGCUCACUGGUCGAGUGACUCUGCGCCGAAAAUGUAACGGGGCUAAACACACCACCGAAGCUAUGGCUUGAAUCGACUUCACUGCUUCUUUGAGGUAGUGAAUACUGAGAUGAACAUUUUUGUCAGGCUUGAGAUGAAAUCAAGGAUGACCCAAUGCACUCAGGGGAUAAACACACUUCGAAGGCGGAGUGAAGUCGAUUCAGGGGUAGGGGAGCGUUGUAUGUAGGUUGAAGGUGUACCGUAAGGAGCGCUGGACAGCAUACAAGUGAGAAUGCCGGUAUGAGUAACGAAA
Molecule: ribosomal RNA, 312 nt
Filed under: Paenibacillus glucanolyticus
Lineage: Bacteria; Bacillati; Bacillota; Bacilli; Caryophanales; Paenibacillaceae
Description: bacterial LSU rRNA
Rfam family: Bacterial large subunit ribosomal RNA
Source: RNAcentral